GUAUUAUUUAUAUUUUAAAUUGAAAAUUUAUUUAUUGUUUUAGUAUUGUUUUGAAUUAAUAUUUUUGUUAUAGUUUAUUUGUACUGUUAAGGAUUUAUUUAUAAUUUUUAUAGUAAAAUUAAUUUUGUACCUUUUGUAUCAGGGUUGAUUUAAUAAUUUUAUUUAUUUAUUUUUCUCGAAUUAACUUGAUUUAAUUAAUUAUGUUUUUUAAAGUUAUAUAUUUAUAUAUUAUAAUUAAUUAGUUGUGAAAUGUUAUUCGUAAGUUAAGAUAUCUAGUUUUCUAAUAAGUGAAUUUAAUUUAGUUAUUUUUAUUUAAUUUAUAAUUUAUUUUUAUAAAUUAUUUAUUUAUAAUAAGAUUUUGGGGGAUUAGCUCUUAAAUUAAUUUUAUAAUUUUUAUUUUUAAUUAAUAUGUAGGUUUUAUAUUAUCCAACAUUAUUGAGUAUAUUAUAAUUUAUUAUUUUAUUUUAUUCAAUUUAUUUUAAUUUAAUUAUUUAUUGGAAUUAUUUAUUUAUUUUUUUAAUUUUUGAAAUAAUGAUUUAAUUAGUAUAUUUUUAUAUAAAUUUAUUUUUUAUAUUAAAUUGUUAUAAGGAAUUCAGCAAAAUAUUUAUUCGCAUGUUUAUCAAAAACAUCUUUUCUUGUAUUAUAUUUGAAAUUUGACCUGCUCAAUGAUUUUAUUUAAUAGCCGCAGUAUUUUGACUGUGCAAAGGUAGCAUAAUCAUUAGUUUAUUAAUUGUAAACUGGAAUGAAUGGUUGGACGAAAUAUUAACUGUCUCAUAAUUAUUAUUAUAACUUAAAUUUUUAGUUAAAAUGCUUAAAUUUUUUUAUAGGACGAGAAGACCCUAUAGAUCUUUAUUGUUUAAUUAAUAUUUAUUUUUGGAUUAUUUUUAUUUUAUUAAUUAACUUAUUUAGUUGGGGUGACAUUAAGAUAUAAUUAACUCUUAUUAUUUAUAAUCAAUUGUUUUUGUAUAUUUGACCUUUUAUUAUUGUUUUAAGAUGAAGAUACCUUAGGGAUAACAGCGUAAUUCUUUUUGAGAGUUCUUAUCGACAAAAGAGAUUGCGACCUCGAUGUUGGAUUAAGAUUAAUAUUAGGUGAAGGUGCUUAAUAAUUAAGUCUGUUCGACUUUUAAAAUCUUACAUGAUCUGAGUUCAAACCGGCGUGAGCCAGGUUGGUUUCUAUCCUUAAUUAUUAAUUUUAUAUUAGUACGAAAGGACCAUAUAAAUUAAAUAUUUUAUUUUAUAUUAUUAUUUAUAAUUAAUUUGGCAGAUUAGUGCAA
This 1274-nucleotide ribosomal RNA is filed under the name Neohirasea stephanus. Its description in RNAcentral is "16S ribosomal RNA". Lineage: Eukaryota; Metazoa; Arthropoda; Insecta; Phasmatodea; Lonchodidae. The record is from RNAcentral.